GAUGAACGCUGGCGGCGUGCUUAACACAUGCAAGUCGAACGAAGCACCUUGAUUUGAUUCUUCGGAUGAAGAUCUUGGUGACUGAGUGGCGGACGGGUGAGUAACGCGUGGGUAACCUGCCUCAUACAGGGGGAUAACAGUUAGAAAUGACUGCUAAUACCGCAUAAGACCACAGCACCGCAUGGUGCAGGGGUAAAAACUCCGGUGGUAUGAGAUGGACCCGCGUCUGAUUAGGUAGUUGGUGGGGUAACGGCCUACCAAGCCGACGAUCAGUAGCCGACCUGAGAGGGUGACCGGCCACAUUGGGACUGAGACACGGCCCAAACUCCUACGGGAGGCAGCAGUGGGGAAUAUUGCACAAUGGGGGAAACCCUGAUGCAGCGACGCCGCGUGAGCGAUGAAGUAUUUCGGUAUGUAAAGCUCUAUCAGCAGGGGAGAAAAUGACGGUACCUGACUAAGAAGCACCGGCUAAAUACG
Molecule: ribosomal RNA, 477 nt
Filed under: uncultured bacterium
Lineage: Bacteria
Description: partial 16S ribosomal RNA
Rfam family: Bacterial small subunit ribosomal RNA
Source: RNAcentral